RNAcentral lists this non-coding RNA (1525 nucleotides) under Talaromyces marneffei ATCC 18224. Its description in RNAcentral is "Penicillium marneffei ATCC 18224 Eukaryotic large subunit ribosomal RNA". It matches the Rfam family "Eukaryotic large subunit ribosomal RNA", at positions 1 to 1551 of the family's 3401-position model. Lineage: Eukaryota; Fungi; Ascomycota; Eurotiomycetes; Eurotiales; Trichocomaceae. The record is from Rfam by way of RNAcentral.
UGACCUCGGAUCAGGUAGGAGUUACCCGCUGAACUUAAGCAUAUCAAUAAGCGGAGGAAAAGAAACCAACCGGGAUUGCCUCAGUAACGGCGAGUGAAGCGGCAAGAGCUCAAAUUUGAAAUCUGGCCCCUUUGGGGUCCGAGUUGUAAUUUGCAGAGGAUGCUUCGGGUGCGGUCCCCAUCUAAGUGCCCUGGAACGGGCCGUCAUAGAGGGUGAGAAUCCCGUCUGGGAUGGGCGGCCGCGCCCGUGUGAAGCUCCUUCGACGAGUCGAGUUGUUUGGGAAUGCAGCUCUAAGCGGGUGGUAAAUUUCAUCUAAAGCUAAAUACUGGCCGGAGACCGAUAGCGCACAAGUAGAGUGAUCGAAAGAUGAAAAGCACUUUGAAAAGAGAGUUAAACAGCACGUGAAAUUGUUGAAAGGGAAGCGUUGUCCACCAGACUCGCCCGGGGGGGCUCAGCCGGCACGUGUGCCGGUGUACUCCUCUCCGGGCGGGCCAGCAUCGGUUUGGGCGGCUGGUGAAAGGCCCCGGGAAUGUAACACCCUCCGGGGUGCCUUAUAGCCCGGGGUGCCAUGCAGCCAGCCUGGACCGAGGCCCGCGCUUCGGCGAGGAUGCUGGCGUAAUGGUGGUCAACGGCCCGUCUUGAAACACGGACCAAGGAGUCUAACAUCUAUGCGAGUGUUCGGGUGUCAAACCCGUCCGCGCAGUGAAAGCGAACGGAGGUGGGAGCCCCUCGGGGCGCACCAUCGACCGAUCCUGAUGUCUUCGGAUGGAUUUGAGUAAGAGCAUAGCUGUUGGGACCCGAAAGAUGGUGAACUAUGCCUGAAUAGGGCGAAGCCAGAGGAAACUCUGGUGGAGGCUCGCAGCGGUUCUGACGUGCAAAUCGAUCGUCAAAUUUGGGUAUAGGGGCGAAAGACUAAUCGAACCAUCUGGUAGCUGGUUCCUGCCGAAGUUUCCCUCAGGAUAGCAGUAACGACAUCAGUUUUAUGAGGUAAAGCGAAUGAUUAGAGGCCUUGGGGUUGAAACAACCUUAACCUAUUCUCAAACUUUAAAUAUGUAAGAAGCCCUUGUUGCUUAGUUGAACGUGGGCGUUAGAAUGAAACGUUACUAGUGGGCCAUUUUUGGUAAGCAGAACUGGCGAUGCGGGAUGAACCGAACGCGAGGUUAAGGUGCCGGAAUGCACGCUCAUCAGACACCACAAAAGGUGUUAGUUCAUCUAGACAGCCCGACGGUGGCCAUGGAAGUCGGAAUCCGCUAAGGAGUGUGUAACAACUCACGGGCCGAAUGAACUAGCCCUGAAAAUGGAUGGCGCUCAAGCGUGCUACCCAUACCUCGCCGUCGGGGUAGAAACGAUGCCCCGACGAGUAGGCAGGCGUGGGGGUCCGUGACGAAGCCUUGGGAGUGAUCCCGGGUCGAACGGCCCCUAGUGCAGAUCUUGGUGGUAGUAGCAAUACUCAAAUGAGACUUUGAGGACUGAGUGGGGAAAGGUCCAUGUGACAGCAGUGGACAUGGGUGAGUCGAUCUAAGAC